This 212-nucleotide unclassified non-coding RNA is filed under the name Rozellomycota sp. RNAcentral's name for it is "Cryptomycota sp. partial contains small subunit ribosomal RNA, internal transcribed spacer 1, and 5.8S ribosomal RNA". The stretch from base 1 to 47 matches the Rfam family "Eukaryotic small subunit ribosomal RNA", at positions 1785 to 1831 of the family's 1831-position model. The record is from RNAcentral. Lineage: Eukaryota; Fungi; Rozellomycota.
AAAGUCGUAACAAGGUUUCCGUAGGUGAACCUGCGGAAGGAUCAUUACAAAUCUCUUGUCGGCUUGCAUAUAGCUAGCCGACACAUAUGCACAAGGUCACUAUAUUAAUCUUUGUAUUAACUGGUGACUUUGAUGUUUACGCUUGUAUGUUUGACAAAUAUGAUGACCCAUCUAAUUAUAGACAACUUUUAACAAUGGAUCUCUUGGCUCUU